Long non-coding RNA from Saccostrea cuccullata (small rock oyster), 483 nucleotides. RefSeq lists it as uncharacterized. The record is from RefSeq and is a predicted model, not a curated record. Lineage: Eukaryota; Metazoa; Mollusca; Bivalvia; Ostreida; Ostreidae. The transcript has 3 exons.
UAUCAAAAGUUAAUUGAUUGACACAGCGGGAUGCCGUGGUCAGCGCUGAUGAAACCGCUCCUUGCUGCAAACUAUUUCCACGUGAUCUAUAUAGGUCAACUUACCAAGAUUUUGAAAAACCGGGCAGCAUUCUUGAGAGACAAAGAAUAGGGUUUAGGGAAUAUUUUACAUCACCGUAUGCGGCUGUUUGCAAAGACUAAAUAUUACACGUUAUGAGAGGAAUUGGACAGAAUGAAGUUUGCUACACACCAUCUUUGAGGGAUUUACCGGGGUAUUAAUUUUAAAGAAGAAAACAAAGAAGUCCAAGUGCCAAACAGAUGAUUUCCAAAGGAAGAAGGAUAUUGUGAUUUUUUUUUCUUAUUUCAAUUGUGACAAAUCUUCCCUGUUAAGAAGACUGUUAUUGACUGUGUGGAUGUAAAAAAGAGUUCAUGGAUUAUAUUUGUGAAAGAGUUUAAACCAAUUAAAACCAUAGGAAGUACAAUA